GACGAACGCUGGCGGCGUGCUUAACACAUGCAAGUCGAACGGAAAGGCCCUGCUUUUGUGGGGUGCUCGAGUGGCGAACGGGUGAGUAACACGUGAGUAACCUGCCCUUGACUUUGGGAUAACUUCAGGAAACUGGGGCUAAUACCGGAUAGGAGCUCCUGCUGCAUGGUGGGGGUUGGAAAGUUUCGGCGGUUGGGGAUGGACUCGCGGCUUAUCAGCUUGUUGGUGGGGUAGUGGCUUACCAAGGCUUUGACGGGUAGCCGGCCUGAGAGGGUGACCGGCCACAUUGGGACUGAGAUACGGCCCAGACUCCUACGGGAGGCAGCAGUGGAGAAUAUUGCACAAUGGGCGGAAGCCUGAUGCAGCAACGCCGCGUGCGGGAUGACGGCCUUCGGGUUGUAAACCGCUUUCGCCUGUGACGAAGCGUGAGUGACGGUAAUGGGUAGAGAAGCACCGGCUAACUACGUG
Molecule: ribosomal RNA, 468 nt
Filed under: uncultured bacterium
Lineage: Bacteria
Description: partial 16S ribosomal RNA
Rfam family: Bacterial small subunit ribosomal RNA
Source: RNAcentral